RNAcentral lists this ribosomal RNA (468 nucleotides) under uncultured bacterium. RNAcentral's name for it is "partial 16S ribosomal RNA". It matches the Rfam family "Bacterial small subunit ribosomal RNA", at positions 28 to 507 of the family's 1533-position model. The record is from RNAcentral.
GACGAACGCUGGCGGCGUGCUUAACACAUGCAAGUCGAACGGAAAGACCCUGCUUUUGUGGGGUGCUCGAGUGGCGAACGGGUGUGUAACACGUGAGUAACCUGCCCUUAUCUUUGGGAUAUCUUCAGGAAACUGGGGAUAAUACAGGAUAGGAGCUCCUGCAGCACGGUGGGGGUUGGAAAGUUUCGGCGGUUGGGGAUGGACUCGCGGCUUAUGAGCUUGUUGGUGGGGUAGUGGCUGUCAAAGGCUUUGACGGGUAGGCGGCCUGGGAGGGUGACCGGCCACAAUGGGACUGAGAUACGGACCAGACUCCUACGGGAGGCAGCAGGGGGGAAUAUUGCACAAUGGGCGGAAGCCUGAUGCAGCAACGCCGCGUGCGGAAUGACGGGCUUCGGGGUGUAAACCGCUGUCGCCUGUGACGAAGCGGGAGUGACGGUAAUGGGUAAAGAAGCACCGGCUAACUACGUG